RNAcentral lists this long non-coding RNA (376 nucleotides) under Zostera marina. Its description in RNAcentral is "long non-coding RNA (ZMAR_LNC002135)". Lineage: Eukaryota; Viridiplantae; Streptophyta; Magnoliopsida; Alismatales; Zosteraceae. The record is from RNAcentral.
CCCCCCAUCGCAUAUUUGGGGGGUCGCAUAUUUAUGGGGCUUAGCCGGAUUCGGGUCGGAUCCAGCUUAACCCGAACCAUUUACCCAAGUAAAAAUUAAAAAAUUGAAAUGAUUAAAUGAAUAAUAUUAUUUUAUAACAACUUAAGGACCCAUUUUAUAAUAAUAUUAUUCAAACAACUUAAAUGAAUAAUAUUAAUUGACGACACACUUAGUUAAAAGUUAGAACUUAGAACUAAAUGUUUGAAUUACACUUUUACUUUGAUGUUUGAAACUAAUACUUUUGUUGUUUUGAAUGUUUCUUUAAGUUUUUCAGAUUUUAAGAGUUUAAGUAUCAUUAAUCACUAUAUUAUUUUAAUUAUGAUUUUUAUUAUGACUU